GAGUACUAAAAUUAAACACAGACACUGGAUUAUGGCAAUAUUUUUCAGGACUCAUUUGUGCCACAAAUGCCAGAUUUCACUAUACUGAUAUUGGAUUUCUCAGAUAUUUUGAAAAAGGAUGAGAUCAUGGACGUUCAAGCUGAGCCUACG
Molecule: long non-coding RNA, 150 nt
Organism: Bombina bombina (fire-bellied toad)
Lineage: Eukaryota; Metazoa; Chordata; Amphibia; Anura; Bombinatoridae
Exons: 3
Source: RefSeq, a predicted model, not a curated record